Molecule: ribosomal RNA, 497 nt
Filed under: uncultured bacterium
Lineage: Bacteria
Description: partial 16S ribosomal RNA
Rfam family: Bacterial small subunit ribosomal RNA
Source: RNAcentral
GAUGAACGCUGGCGGCGUGCCUAAUACAUGCAAGUCGAGCAAACGGACGAGAAGCUUGCUUCUCUGAUGUUAGCGGCGGACGGGUGAGUAACACGUGGAUAACCUACCUAUAAGACUGGGAUAACUUCGGGAAACCGGAGCUAAUACCGGAUGAUAUUUUGAACCGCAUGGUUCAAAAGUGAAAGACGGUCUUGCUGUCACUUAUAGAUGGAUCCGCGCUGCAUUAGCUAGUUGGUAAGGUAACGGCUUACCAAGGCAACGAUGCAUAGCCGACCUGAGAGGGUGAUCGGCCACACUGGAACUGAGACACGGUCCAGACUCCUACGGGAGGCAGCAGUAGGGAAUCUUCCACAAUGGGCGAAAGCCUGACGGAGCAACGCCGCGUGAGUGAUGAAGGUCUUCGGAUCGUAAAACUCUGUUAUUAGGGAAGAACAUAUGUGUAAGUAACUGUGCACAUCUUGACGGUACCUAAUCAGAAAGCCACGGAUAACUACGUG